Esox lucius (northern pike) is the source of this 1596-nucleotide long non-coding RNA. RefSeq lists it as uncharacterized. NCBI's taxonomy places the organism in Eukaryota, Metazoa, Chordata, Actinopteri, Esociformes, Esocidae. The transcript has 4 exons. The record is from RefSeq and is a predicted model, not a curated record.
UAAAAGCGCCAGUGGGCAUAGGUGCGCAUAGUUGCGCGGAUUGCGACGUAGUUCCAAUUAAGGGAUUGAUUCCAACUUCUCUGUGAUACUUUAAGGACAUUUCUCGCAUGCUGCAUCUUUGAAACUCUCAAAAUAUACUUAUAUCAGUGAACUUAUUCUCACACAACGCACGAGUAAGACCUUUACGCACAGCCCACCAUGAAGAUAUUUCUACUCGUUGCAUUUUUUCUGGUUUUGGCAAAUGUCCUUAGUCAAGAAAUGCAUUUUGAUUACAACUGGAGAACAUUUACUGAAAAGAGCAUCCGGCCUCAGUCCGAACCAUAUUACGAAAUCCUAAAAAGAACGACUCGAAAACCUGGGUCACGACAAUACGUCCGUCUUAUGAGGAAUAGAGGCAUGCACUUUCGUUUUAUUGUAACAAUUUCAUAUUUUGAAAUAUUUCUGUACAUAGGUUAAUAGAUGCAUUUAUUUUGUUUCAUGCUCUUUUACAGCAAAAGCACAGAUAAGUCGAAGGCAAAGAUUUGAAUCUUUUGUUGGACUGAUGGGUAAAAGGAGCUCUAAGGAACCAGGUCCCUUCCGAUAUCCACAGGAGGUAACACUGCAUUGGAAGAAUACAUCUUUGUAGCGGAUACAAGGAAAAUGUUUGCAUAUAUUCGUGUGAUGUUCAGGCUGCAUGGGGUAUAUAUGUCAUCCAACAUAACGUUAAAAUUACCAGAGGUGUGAACAUUAUAUAGUAAAAGUAGGCUUGUAAUCUCUACGCCUGUGCAAAUUACCAGUACUUGCAACAUUUAUUUAGACAAUUAAAUUGAGCAAUAUACAUGUUACUGUGGUGUUCAUUGUAAAAUAUAUUAUUGCAAAUAUAAGCGGAUUAUGCGCAAACAUGCAUUCAGUGUGGCAAAACACUUCCAUAACACGUACAAUACGAAAUGAAGGUCGACAAGAGACCUCUGGUGGAUAAAUGUGUGUAGUAGGCAAAGCUAAAACAUGUUAACAAGUUUAAACUAUUUACCUUUCAUUGUAUAAUCCUAAGAUAAUGUGAAUUCUGAAAAUGCAAUAACAUCUCUUAGCAGAAUUAAUUGGAUUGCAAAUAUGUAUCAUCACAUGUUUAUUAAGUGACUUUGUACAAUACAAAUACAAAAUAAAAUUAAAAGAUACAGAUGGAGUACAUAGCCAAAGCAAAAUGUGGUGUUGACUUCCAUUUCCAGGCAGUUAGCCUAGUUUAGAGUAGGACCAGUAACCGAAAGAUCGCUGGUUCAAUUCCUAGCCAACAAGGUGAAAAAUCUGUCAAUGUGCCCAUGAACAAGGCACUCAACCCAAACUGCUCCUGUAAUAAACUCCGGGUAAGUGUCUGCUAAAUGACUAAAAUGUAAAUCUGAUCUCAUCUGGAGUUAGAGAAACAUUUUGUUUGCUCUUUGUACACCGACUACUGAAUUUGAAACAGUCAAUCAUCUUCAGAAACUGGUCCGAACAUCAGAAUUCUUUAACAUACAAAAAAGUAUUACUUUAGCUGGCUCGGUAUAUAUAAAAAUAAACUAACUGAAAUAUAACAUUUAUGAAGUUAUAAAUGGUGGUCCAAAGCUAGUGAAAAUUGCUAAA